UUCUAAAGUCCUCAUUUGCCCCUCCUCAAAGGCUAAUUUCCAUCUCAAAAUGGCGGAACCGCCCCAAGCUGAUGUCGGAUGAGAUCAAUUCCAUGUUUCUGCACUAAGCCAACACAAGGGAUCCGUAUGCUUUGUUCAUGGUAUAAUCUACAGGAGUCCGAGCCAGGCUUUUAUCUGCAGAAUGGAGAGCAGUAAACUGAUAUGUUGGCAAUUUCAUUUUUCACUGAAUCUGCAACCUCUGUUUUGCAUUAGAAGCAGGUUGUCUUCAAGAACCAUGGCCAUUAGCUCAGGCUGGAUUCUUCUGGGCUUUUGGCGUCUUUCCCUAUCUCAGACUUCCUUUCAUCUACCCCUGGAGAACAGCUCUGGAGAAAUCUGAAGCUCUUUAUUUUUUUAAUUCUUUUUUUUUAAUGAUCCGGUAAUACCCAGUGAAGAAUGUUGGUUCUACCAGUCAUUACCUCAAAUGAACGCUUGAUUACUUAGUUACUAGCAUGAUCAACAGAAAAUGAAGAGGAUUCAAAUUCUUGACCUCCUAUUAUUUGCACCCAAUAAAACUCUUAAUCUUUAAAGUGACACAAAACCUGGUUGCUGCCUCCUGGGUUCUCCUAGACAUCUACCUAGUAUUGUUUGGAUUUGCCAAGUGAUCAGAAAAAAAUAUGCAUGCAUUUAUCAGCAGAAGUUUGCAAUGCAGAAGUUGGCAAGUGGUGUUUCCACACUGUAGAAAGAAAUGUUACUUCCUGCUCAUGUCUACAGAUCAAGUGGCUGUUAAAAGCACAAGAGCCAGGGCUAGUUACAAAAUCUGGCAGUGUUAGCAACACCAUAUGUUUACACUAGAGAACAGGCUGGAGACAGCGAGAAACGUAAAAUCAACUUGCUGGCGUCGCUUAAAUAUGAUGAUGCAACUGACGUUUACCGGAAAGCGAGAAAUCCUUCGUUCUGGAGACUUAAAGUCACCCGUUACAGUUCAUCUGAACCACAGCUAUAAUGGUUUAAAAAGGAAAAUGUUUCCCUCAAUGCCGGGCUUCCUUCAAGAAAGUACUCUAUGCUCCAUCUGGGAAAGCUAAACAAAAUUAACCACUUUUCCGCCUUAUUGAUCCAUCUCCAGCUUCAAGAAGAGGGCUUUCCUGAAUGGAGAACAAAUGCAGAGCAAAUAGAGGAAACAC
RNAcentral lists this long non-coding RNA (1160 nucleotides) under Pogona vitticeps (central bearded dragon). RNAcentral's name for it is "lncRNA (ENSPVIG00000025060.1)". Lineage: Eukaryota; Metazoa; Chordata; Lepidosauria; Squamata; Agamidae. The record is from RNAcentral.